AAGGUUCGGUUGAAGCCGCACACGCGUCCGGCCUCUACGGGUAUCCACACGAGGCAGAGAACCAAUCCAAACUCACUAAUCUCCCCGGGGUGCUAGCUCCCUUGCAGAGAUACGUUUUGAUGGCUGAAAUCCUCUCUUUUGAAUCAACUCUUGAUUGCCUUAGAGAGGAGGAAGAAGGAUGGAUCAAAAGGAAGAAGGCAAAACCCCUUUGCAGCCUUUUCCUUUUUCUUUUCUUUUGGAACCAAAGAAGAGAGGGAGGAAGGGCUACAUGCCUCCUUCUUUUUCUUUGUUUGCUGGUGGCUGAAACCCAAGAGAAAGAGGC
Molecule: long non-coding RNA, 322 nt
Filed under: Phoenix dactylifera (date palm)
Lineage: Eukaryota; Viridiplantae; Streptophyta; Magnoliopsida; Arecales; Arecaceae
Description: long non-coding RNA (PDAC_LNC021013)
Source: RNAcentral